GGGGCUGUAGCUCAGGGGUAAGAGCGCCAGUCUUAUAAACUGGAUGUCGCUGGUUCAAUUCCAGCCAGCCCUACCA
Molecule: transfer RNA, 76 nt
Filed under: marine sediment metagenome
Description: tRNA-Ile
Rfam family: tRNA
About the family: Transfer RNA (tRNA) molecules are approximately 80 nucleotides in length. Their secondary structure includes four short double-helical elements and three loops (D, anti-codon, and T loops). Further hydrogen bonds mediate the characteristic L-shaped molecular structure. tRNAs have two regions of fundamental functional importance: the anti-codon, which is responsible for specific mRNA codon recognition, and the 3' end, to which the tRNAs corresponding amino acid is attached (by aminoacyl-tRNA synthetases). tRNAs cope with the degeneracy of the genetic code in two manners: having more than one tRNA (with a specific anti-codon) for a particular amino acid; and 'wobble' base-pairing, i.e. permitting non-standard base-pairing at the 3rd anti-codon position.
Source: RNAcentral